RNAcentral lists this ribosomal RNA (253 nucleotides) under uncultured bacterium. RNAcentral's name for it is "partial 16S ribosomal RNA". It matches the Rfam family "Bacterial small subunit ribosomal RNA", at positions 524 to 776 of the family's 1533-position model. The record is from RNAcentral.
UACGUAGGGUGCGAGCGUUGUCCGGAAUUAUUGGGCGUAAAGAGCUUGUAGGCGGUUUGUCGCGUCUGCUGUGAAAAUCCGGGGCUCAACCCCGGACUUGCAGUGGGUACGGGCAGACUAGAGUGUGGUAGGGGAGACUGGAAUUCCUGGUGUAGCGGUGGAAUGCGCAGAUAUCAGGAGGAACACCGGUGGCGAAGGCGGGUCUCUGGGCCGACAUUGACGCUGAGGAGCGAAAGCGUGGGGAGCGAACAGG